ACGCUCCACACAGGCCACCGCUUCCGAGCCAGCCCGGGAAUCCUCCCUCCGACAGGAGUUGCAGUUCGUCUCCGAUCCCCUUGGGAUUUAAGCCUUCUUGCAUACAUAUAUUUUUUUUUUUCCUCUUUCCUCCUCUCUCUUUUUUUUUUUCCCCCUCCCGUGCAAAGUGGAGAAGGAGCCGCACCGAGGCAGAGCUCUUACCCUAUCGCUCCGAUUUAUCACUGCUGUUAUUCCUAAUUAAUUCUUAUUUUUAACCUCACCCCAGCCGGGGAGGGCAGCCGGACCAUUCCCAGCAAGAGAAACAUUUCCAUCCCUAUCAAUAAAGGUUUUUUUUUCCCCGUUCCCCCCCCCCUCCUCCUUUCCCGAGGAAGGGGCAGCCGGCGCUAGCGCGGCCCCUCCGCCAGUCCCGGCGGGGGGAGGCGGGACCCAGCGCCGCCCGCCGCCGGGGGGGCAGCCGCCCCAGACAGGUGAUGGGCGUUUCGGCUGCGCUCUGGAUCGACUCCUUGGGUUUCACUUUGGUCUGAUCUAAGCAAAUAUGCAGAAGUACCGGCUGGUCUAGUCCUAAGAGCCAAGAGGAGCGAAGCGAGAGCAGCAGAAAGGAGAGAGCGAGGCAGCGCUCCCGUACAGCGAGGGGGAACGUACAAACAGCGGCAGCGCCGUAAUUAAACCAACGCCGCCCCGAAGGCAGCCCCGACCCGCCCUGGAUGCCGAGGACCCCCGAGCCGCCCCGCUGCCUUUCCCCUGAGGGAUGGUACUGAAUUUCUGCGCGGCGGGAGCCGGCCUGCAGCUCCUCUCCAUCAGCGUUGCCUUCCCUCCGUGUCUUAAGUGCACGAGACCGCGAUGAGGACCUGGGCUUGCGUUUUGCUGAUAGGUUUUGGCUACCUGUCCUUUACCUUCUCCGAGGAGGCCGAGAUCCCGCAGGAGCUGAUCGAGCGGCUGGCGCACAGCGAGAUCCACAGCAUCCGCGACUUGCAGCGCCUCCUGGAGAUUGACUCCGUAGGGUAUGAUGAUGUUUCAGAAACAAACUUGAGAUCUUAUAGUGUUCAUUCUGCUAAACAUGUGCAAGAGAAUCGUCCUGUGCCCAUUCGCAGAAAAAGAAGCAUUGAGGAAGCCAUCCCUGCUGUUUGCAAAACACGGACGGUUAUAUACGAGAUACCUCGGAGUCAGAUAGAUCCCACCUCGGCCAACUUCCUGAUAUGGCCACCCUGCGUGGAGGUGAAACGUUGCACUGGCUGUUGCAACACCAGCAGCGUGAAAUGCCAGCCAUCGCGGAUACAUCACAGAAGUGUCAAGGUGGCAAAAGUGGAAUAUGUUAGAAAAAAGCCAAAAUUAAAAGAAGUUCUGGUGAGAUUAGAAGAGCAUAUGGAAUGCACCUGUACAUCAUCAAAUACUAAUUCAGAUUAUAGAGAAGAAGAAACUGGAAGGCCUAGGGAAUCAGGUAAAAAACGGAAACGAAAAAAGUUAAAACCAACAUAAAACCCACUGGAACUAUUUGAUAUUCAGAUUAACAGGUAUUUAUUGGGAGUAGUAUGAUAGAAGCAAAGAUUUUCUAAAAUUCAACUUUAAAAGUGAGCAUGUAAACUCAAUCAAAGCAGCAUUUAGAGCUUCUUGUCCCAGAUGUAAGGUGAAAAUAAGCUAGAAAAAAAACUUCUCUCUGGGACAUGGAUGUACAUGGUUUGUUACAUUCCUGAACCUACUAUGUAUGGUGCUUAUUGACUGUAUACGUUAUUUGUUCUCCUAUGUCAAAAAACUGGCUCAAAAGAACACUUUAAUGAGAACAAAGAGACAAUGUACAUUUGUUUAAUGUGACAUCAAAGCAAGUAUUGUAGCACUCUGUGAAACAAUAGGAAGCUUCCCUGUCCAAAAAAGAAAAAAAAUGAAAGAAAGAAAAACAGAAAAGAAAAAAAAAGACAGUUGAAUGAAUGGAGGAUACCAAAAGUACUCAAAAACAUGACAAAAAUCUAAGUGAAUAGUGGAUUUCUGUCAGAGCAGUCAACGGUGCUUUACGUCAAGAAAUGUGCCUGCGUUCUUGAUGAAGAUGGAUGGACACUGAUGGACUUCAGGCACAAAAAAAGCAGGAAUGUAUGAAAUGAUCAAAUGCCACGCAAACACUAUAGAACAAUACAUCCUUACUUGGUGGUGUUUUAAAAGUCUAUACAAAAAAAAACCUACUGGGGAGCCUUAAGUGGAUUUUUUUUUUUUUUUUUUACACCAUAAAGUGAUUAUUAAGUUUUCUUUUUACUCUUUGCCUAGCUUUUUAUUAUCUCUUGGACUACAUUUGCCAAUAACACAUAUAAAAGACUGGUAUAACAAUAAGCAGAACACAAAAUAUUAUGGUAUUUCUCCUAGUGGGAUGCAAACUAAUGAGAUGUAUUAAAAUAAAAAUGGUAUACCUAUGCAUAAUUUUCUAGAUAUUUCUUGGUUUAUGUUCCCCGAUCUCCCCGUAAUUUAAAACAUUACAUAAAAAGAAAAAAAGAGAUGUGCGUAAACAAAUCAUAGGAUAUCCAUGCAAAAAUCCUUUUUUUUUUUUCCUUUAAGACUUAUGCCAGUUGCCUACUAUUGAUAUUGUGUUAGCAAUUGUCAUUCUUAUCAGUAUACAGAUACUUCUAUUUCACAUGUUGGAGCUGUGUGAAAUGUACAAAUUCUUGUAUCUGCAUUGUACAAUGUCAUGGUGGCAUGGGAACUACCUUGCUGCAAAUAUUUGAACAAAACCUAAAAUUCUUUAUUUUUGGUAAAAUGUUAUGCUUUAUGUGUAUUCAACAGAAAUAUGUGUUUUUGUAAAGGUGAAGUUUGUAUUUUUAUCUAAAAAUUAACAGUUUUAUAUACCUGAGAAAGCCUGCUAUGUUUUCUUGAACCAAAAAAAAAAAAAAAAAAAAGAAAAAAAGAAAAAAAGUGCAUUUUGUGGUCAUAUUUUUGUAGUAGAAUAGCCCAAAUAACAUCAAAUCUAUUUUAACUAUAGCAGGGCAGAUAAAAUACUCUGGCACCAGCUCCUGUGUUUUCAAAGUGCCAAAGGAUUAAAUGUUCAGUUCCCCACGGAUUGCAGUGGGAGCCACAUGGCUAAAUCCUUCUGUACUGCUUUGGAAACGUAGGGCUGUGCCAGAUAUGACAUGGCUACUCGCUUGGCCCAAACCAGUGCCCCACCCCAGUAGUUUGGAUUAUGUACCCUUUGUUUGAGUUGGAUGAUCACAUUGGAUAUGUAUAAUGAACUACUGGAUUCUUUUAUUUGUGAAACGUCUACAAAAAGAUGAAAGAGUUUUCUUAGUUCGGAACAACAAAAAAAGUGUGUCUUGAAGACAGUGUUUCCACUCAAAAACUAUCUUCAAAUGUGAAUGAACUGCAGAACCUGAAAAUAAUGAGAGAGAGAGAUUUUUAACUUUUCCAUUUCUUUAAAUAUAGUUCAAACGUUCCCCUCCUGUUCCUGUAGCUACAUCCAAUUUCAACCGAACAAAGCAAUGUCAGCUAACAGGCAUUAUUGGCUUCAGAUGCUAAUGCAGAGAUAGAGUUAGUCACCGUUCUAUUUUGUGAUCAUUUUCCCAGUGUAUUUGUUGAGCACCAAAACUGGAAAUGCAUUUAGCUAAGAUUGUCUGUGCUUGUUUUCCACUAAGUGUACUGUUCACAAUGUUAUGCACAUGAAUGUAUGUGUCUGCGUUUAAAAAAAAAAGUGUAUAAAAUGUAAUUUAUAUAUUUAUGUUUCAGUGGGAUGCCAAUAAUGUUGCUCCGUUUCUUUUUUUUUGUCUAAAAGAUAUCUAAUGAAAAAAAAACCAAACAUAUAUCCAUUAAAAUCAUGUAGAUGAAAAGCAUGAUGUGACCCACUCAGACACUGUGUAGGUAUGAAAGGAUAUCAAAGUCACUUCAGUGGAAUAAUUUGCAAAACAACUUCUUGAGAAUCCUGUGGUUGCACUGGCAUAAGAAGGUUGUGUUUGGAUCUGUGGGCCAGCUUCCCUGGAGUUACUCCAUUGAGUAUAAUGGAGCUCUGCUGAUUUACAUCACGAGUGAGUCUGGCCCUCUAUUGAUGUCUUGGAGAAAAAAGUAAACCGAAAGGCAUGCAUUUUAUUGGUGCCAGCAAUUAAAUGUGUUAUGCCAAAUUCAGAAAACCAGGAGAGAAUGAAGACUGAAUGAAGUCUUUUCCAGUAGUUGUUUGUUUGAGACUUGUAGUCUCGAGUUAAUUUUGUUACCAGAAAUGAAACGCACACGAGUCUUUGUUCUCAAGCACAGUGUUUAUAUGGCACGCAGCAGAAAACGCAAAAAUCUCAGGGCUAUAUUCUCAGCUAGUAUAAAUUGGCAAAUGUUCUUGACUUCAGCCACCCCUAAGCUAAUUUACAUCAGAUGAGGAUCCAGUCCACGGUUUUUAAAAUGUGAGAGUGUCAUUUGCUGUAGUCCAGCCGAGAUACUCCCCGCCAGCCUUGUGAACGCUACAGGCUAUGGUAUUAGUCCUUCCUCAGGGUGGCAGAUACAACCAGAAGGAAUGGUAACGUUAAAGGUUGUGACACAGGAGACAUUAAUUCAAAGUUAAGUUGGACAUUUCAAGGGCCAUAUCCUCAGCUGGUGUAAAUCACCAUCGCUCCGUUGCCUGCAAUGGAGCUGUACCAGCUUACACCACUUGAGGGGCUGGUCCCUCAUUCUUGCUCAUCCCUUUCACUACUCGAUCCUGCAGGGAUCUCAGAUUGUCCUGUACUGUUAAUGUAAUCCUGUGUUCUCUAAUACUUAAGCACAAUAAGUGAAUAUAAGAAUGAGUGUCAGACUUAACUUUGAAUGUCCAAGCUCUGAAAUGGUUUGUUUCACCAUUGUGGCUGUAAAUUAAACAGUUCUCUGUGCAUUUGUGAAUGCUGUGUCAUAUCUUCUUCUGCUCUCUGCUGGAAGUGGAGUCCAUCUGGGCUUUUAAAGUGCAACAUUUGGACUGUUACAGGGAAGGGUGUGAGCAAUCGGAGCAGUAAGAUAUCUGAUUGACAUCUCUGUUACUGGUGGAGCGGGGGGUCAGUAGGGGACUAAAUGAAGGAGUUGAAGGUGAUAGUUAUAAGUCACAUUUCCAUGCACUCCUUUACCACCUUGUUGGUUUUGUCCUUGCACGUGCUAGGUAAAAAUUCUGGGGUAAAGCUUUUUUCUGUUUUACAUUCUGCAGUCGCUUCCUCUGUCCAGAGAUUCAAAAGUUGUUGGUCUGAUUUCAUCCUUUUUGAAGACUUUUCUGGUCAGAAAGUAUGUGUAGUGAACUGCCCCCAAAAAAUCUGAGUGUUACAAUAGGGUGCAUGGUUGCUGAUUCUCUAGUAAAUUGCAUACUUUUAAUUCUGUGUUUCAUCUUUCCAGAGAUGCCCUUCAGUUGCUUUUGUUGAGUGAAAUCAACGAUUAUAUACCAGUUUGCUUUCCUUUUCUCCUGUCCUCCAUCCUGCUUGACAUCUGCUUUAUUAGAUAGUGCACAUUGACUACAGGCAAGUUGCUCCUCUCCUGGAGCAACUCCCGGAGGUUUCUGGGCUGCUCCAGCACUUCUUUAUCGUUGAGCUUAGGCUUUUUACUCUGUUUUGAACUGUAUCUCAUGGGUCUCCUCCCUCAAUGGGCUUCAGCAUUCCAGCUACAAGGUUCUUUUAGUGGUCUACCUUGGGUCCGUGUUGCCUUUCUGUAGUCUGCUUUCUAGCUGUUCUCUGCCUGACUUUUGCAUCCCUCUGUUUCUGUCUCUCCAAAAUGAUUUCCCCUUCUUAGGUUCUGUCUCAUAUAUCUAUUUUUUCUCCUCCUGCUUGCCACAACAGCCUUUGAUCCACCCCAUCUCCAAAUCAAUUGCUUUAUCCAGGCAUGUACCCCAAGAUCCUGUCUCCCAGGCCUGUAGGCCCAUAAAUGACCCCUACAUGAAAGACAAAUGCUGUUAUAUAGACAUAUGUUUGUGGAGAGAAGAAGGUUCAUCUUUGCAUUUGGAAAAAUAUUCAUUCCUGAAUGCUCCCUGCUAAAGCUCUGUCCGAUUCCAGCAACAGUGUAACUGUGGAAUGAAGUGGUGUUGAAGCUAUUCCAGACAUCUGACGGUUCAAUUAAGAUCCGUGACCCUGUGUAUAAUUUCAUUUGAAAGUGUACCCAAAAGCAAAGAUGAAGUUUCAAAGCUACCUCAGCUUUGCAUGCUCAUAUUUUACUGUAAUUUGAAGGAAAUAAUGUAUGUAGGCUCCUUCCAUAGCUUUAAAAAUCUUAUACCUGAAUAUUUAUCUGACCCUCUCUUGGGCUGGAGAUCAUGGUUGCUUUAAAAAGGAAAUGAAAUGGAGCUCUUCAGUGAAGUAAUUUUCUUGGUGUUUCUAACACACGGCUUCUAGUACUGGCACAUCUCAGAAACAGUAGGGUAAAAGCUGUUUAAACUCAUAAGAAUCCCACUUAAAUUUGCUUUAAUUCAGGUAACAGAGAGAAGCCUAUCAAUGUUGCAUUCCUCAAGAAUCAGCCUGUUCUGUACUUAUUAUUUCAUUUAAUUACUGUGUGUUUUGCCACAUUUUAAAAGCAAGGUAUUAUUCCAUGUCUGAGCUUUUUUUUGUGCUGCUCUUUGCUGUAGCGUCUCUGCGGCGCAGCCUGGAACUGACUUGUACUCAUACCUCCUCUGAAAU
Cuculus canorus (common cuckoo) is the source of this 6566-nucleotide RNA transcript. It is a transcript of the gene named platelet derived growth factor subunit A, with no coding region annotated. Lineage: Eukaryota; Metazoa; Chordata; Aves; Cuculiformes; Cuculidae. The record is from RefSeq and is a predicted model, not a curated record. The transcript is spliced from 8 exons.